RNAcentral lists this long non-coding RNA (358 nucleotides) under Callithrix jacchus (white-tufted-ear marmoset). RNAcentral describes it as "lncRNA (ENSCJAG00000082684.1)". Lineage: Eukaryota; Metazoa; Chordata; Mammalia; Primates; Cebidae. The record is from RNAcentral.
CUCACAGCACACAGCAGUCUUUGUAAUUUACACUGACAAAACCUUGGAGUGGAGACUCUGAUAGGAAAUUUAAGUGGAAAAAAAAAAAAAGAGAAAGAGGCACAGAUGAGACGUUUUAUUCUCAUUGACAUUGUCAGAAUUUUGUUUUCAAGAACCUUAAUUGUAAUUGGAGACUUGAAAUGUCAUAGGGGAUUCAUUUUGCAAGACGGAGAAGAGGGAAAAGAGUUUGGGAUUAUUACGAAUAAUGCUCUGGUAAACAUCUGCAUAAGUUUGAUUAGUGGAGACAUGCUUUUAUAUCUCUCGGGUAAUAGAAUCAUUGGGUCAUAUGGUAAGUUUAUUUUUGACUUUUUAAGAAACU